GGGCUAAUACCGAUGUGCUCAGCAGUCACUCUGUUGAGUAAGCUAUGGCGCUUUGGGAUGUGCCGCGUGCCAUCAGCUAGUUGGUAGGGUAACUGCUACCAAUGCUAAGACGGGUAGGGGGCGUGAGAGCGCGAAUCCCCACACUGGCACUGAGACACGGGCCAGACUCCUAACGGGGAGGCAGCAGUGAGGAAUANUGCGCAAUGGACGAAAGUCUGACGCAGCGACGCCGCGUGGGCGAUGAAGGCCUUCGGGUCGUAAAGCCCUUUUCUGGGGGACGAGAAAUGACGGUACCCCAUGAAUAAGCCCCGGCUAACUACGUGCCAGCAGCCGCGGUAAAACGUAGGGGGCAAGCGUUAUCCGGAUUUACUGGGCGUACAGAGCGUUGAGGCGGUUUCGUAAGUUGGGCGUGAAAGCCCUGGGCUUAACUCAGGGAAGCCGUUCAAUACUGCGACACUUGAGGGCAGCAGAAGGAGGUGGAAUUCCCGGAGUAGCGGUGAAAUGCGUAGAUAUCGGGAGGAACACCAGUGGCGAAGGCGGACUCCUGGGCUGCUCCUGACGCUUGAAGCGACAGCUAGGGGAGCGAACGGGAUUCGA
RNAcentral lists this ribosomal RNA (597 nucleotides) under uncultured organism. Its description in RNAcentral is "bacterial SSU rRNA". It matches the Rfam family "Bacterial small subunit ribosomal RNA", at positions 160 to 782 of the family's 1533-position model. The record is from RNAcentral.